CAGUAGCCGCGGUAAUACGAAGGGGGCUAGCGUUGUUCGGAUUUACUGGGCGUAAAGCGCACGUAGGCGGACUUUUAAGUCAGGGGUGAAAUCCCGGGGCUCAACCCCGGAACUGCCUUUGAUACUGGGAGUCUUAAGUUCGAGAGAGGUGAGUGGAAUUGCGAGUGUAGAGGUGAAAUUCGUAGAUAUUCGCAGGAACACCAGUGGCGAAGGCGGCUCACUGGCUCGAUACUGACGCUGAGGUGCGAAAGCGUGGGGAGCGAACAGGAUUAGAUACCCCGGUAGUCCCUGUCUCUUAUAC
RNAcentral lists this ribosomal RNA (301 nucleotides) under uncultured bacterium. Its description in RNAcentral is "partial 16S ribosomal RNA". It matches the Rfam family "Bacterial small subunit ribosomal RNA", at positions 509 to 807 of the family's 1533-position model. The record is from RNAcentral.